UACGUAGGUGGCGAGCGUUGUCCGGAUUUACUGGGCGUAAAGAGCGCGCAGGCGGUCGUACAAGUCGCGUGUGAAAGCCCCUGGCUCAACUGGGGAGGGUCACGCGAUACUGUUCGACUCGAAGGCAGGAGAGGGAAGUGGAAUUCCCGGUGUAGUGGUGAAAUGCGUAGAUAUCGGGAGGAACACCAGUGGCGAAGGCGACUUCCUGGCCUGUUCUUGACGCUGAGGUGCGAAAGCGUGGGGAGCAAACAGG
This 253-nucleotide ribosomal RNA is filed under the name uncultured bacterium. RNAcentral describes it as "partial 16S ribosomal RNA". It matches the Rfam family "Bacterial small subunit ribosomal RNA", at positions 524 to 776 of the family's 1533-position model. The record is from RNAcentral.